UACGUAGGGACCAAGCGUUGUUCGGAUUUACUGGGCGUAACGGGCGCGUAGGCUGCGUGGUAAGUCACUUGUGAAAUCUCUGAGCUUAACUCAGAACGGUCAAGUGAUACUGCUGUGCUAGAGUGCGGAAGGGGCAAUCGGAAUUCUUGGUGUAGCGGUGAAAUGCGUAGAUAUCAAGAGGAACACCUGAGGUGAAGACGGGUUGCUGGGCCGACACUGACGCUGAUGCGCGAAAGCCAGGGGAGCAAACGGG
Molecule: ribosomal RNA, 253 nt
Filed under: uncultured bacterium
Lineage: Bacteria
Description: partial 16S ribosomal RNA
Rfam family: Bacterial small subunit ribosomal RNA
Source: RNAcentral